GUCUCCCCUGUCGUACGUCGCUUGGCGGCUAGCCGGCGUCUGCGUCCGCCUCGGCCAUGACAAGCGUCGCCCAGCCCCUCCCCGCUCUCCAGCUCACCCCUAGAGCAGCAUGCAGUUCGUCUGCGAGCCCCUGCAACCCUGCCAGCUAGCUCUGCUUCCAUGCCCAUUGCCAGAGACUAUCUUCGUUGAUCUUAUCCUCGGCCUCCGACGAACCGAGGUCGAGUGCCUAUAUAAGGAGGCCCCCAAGCUCUGUGAGCACCCCAUCCUCCUCCCUGGACCCGCACCUAGCUUUCGAACACCCCAAUUUACCGGAGCCAUCCGCGAUGCUCACAUGCAGCGGCAUCGCCGUCGCCAACGUCCGGUCGAAUUCAAGCAAUCCUGAACCCCUCCCGCUCCACCUUGGCCACCAUUAUCUCAACCACGGUCCCUAGGUUCCAUCCCCAAAGCCAAAUCUCAUCGGUAGCGAAACGUAGGCAGAAGCCAGUGCGUCGGAGCCUCCCUUCCGCAAUGGUUGGAGGUGUGCUCACUCCCGAGCUCUCCGACGACUCCCAUGCCCCCACAAGAUGAGGCCCUUCCCCCUGAGCACGCCGGUGUGCCCAGCUCUAGGAAUGGUGCUUCCUAGCACCCGCAAUCGCCGUCGGCGUCGGCCCUUCACUGUGCCCGUGCGCGCGAGGGGGGAGAAGACGAACCCAAUAGGUGGGUUCCACCUGUUGGCGGGUCAACCUCGGCCUCGAUGGCGCAGAUCCCAGGGUGUGUUUUCGCUUUAGAAAGGUGUGUUCUCUGGAGUGCAUUUUCCCUUUCCCGAAAAUUUAUUUGUGGUCAAAAACGUUUUCUUCUCUCUUUUAUUUAAAAACAUAUUUUUGACCAAACUUUGACUUCUUAUAACUUUUAAACUACAACUCCAAAUGAGUUGAUUUUUUUUCUGUUGUUUCUCAAAUUUCACCUAGUUUAUUCUAUUAUUUAUUUCAAAAAAAUUAAAACAACUUUGAUACACGUUCUUAGGAAUGUGUUUUAAUUCCGGUAUUUUCAAAAAUAGGACAAUUUGGAGGGAAGAACUCUUUCAAGAUUUUUGGGGUGCACACCACCCUUAUUCAUACCAAAGGCGAGCAUCUUGAACCACGAUUUGUCUUAAGUGUGUGAUUGGUUGUUGCGAUGAAUGGAUGCAUGGUUAUGUUACUCAGAUAAAAACUCCCAUUAGUAACAUAUUUUGCAUGAAAUCAUGUGAUGGGUAUUUAUUUGUUGUUGAUCAUAUAAUCCUAGUGAUGAGUGGGUACUCCCUCAUUGACGGGGAUACGGCCCCUGGAUAUACCAAAGCGUAGGGAAUCCCUCUCGAAGACAUCCGGGCCAGCUGGGCCCCCUACUGGUCGGCUAGCUACACGCGGCUCACCUAGCCACUGUGUGGUGGGCCGACUAGUGGUGUUUGACCCUCCCCUGGGCGCCCUCGACCGGUUGGCCACAGACGGCCCACCUGGCUAGUGCACGAUGGGCCGGCUCACAGCAGCCGGCGGGUCAGUGCCUCCUUCCGGCCAUACUGACGUACGACGUACAAGACCAUACCCUAACUGCAGGGGCACGCAUGGCUACAGUGCGCAUGGACAGGCCUGGCGCGGCUACAGGCGUCAUGAUGCAAGGCUUCGCAUGGCUACAACGCCACCAGUCACGCCCGAGACUGACCAGGCGAGGCGGACCUAUAGCUAGGGCCUACCCCUACCAACUCCCUAGCGGCCGGCACAUUAUCCGCUACGGCACACGUCCGGUGGGACCCAUGUCGGACAAGACCCGACAGCCGAAGGGACCCACGGCUACCCGGAGAGGCUGGCAGCUGGGCCCCGCACACCAUUUGUACCCAUUAUUGUAUACAUUUGGGUGCACUAUAAAGCCCAACCCCAGUCCCCUGAGAGAGGGGGGAGCAACUAGCGAAUCCUUAGACACACACCAUCGAGGCAGCGAGAGCUUCGCCUCCCUCCUUACGAGCAGCUCAACGAGCACCACUGUAUUGUGAUCUCAUAUAGUCACACCGGCAGGACUAGGGUUUUUACCUCACUGGAGGGCUCUGAACCUAGAUAGAUAGGCGUCAUGUGUCUCGCGCCAUCACACGUUCCCAGACACCGUCAGUUUCCAUUGGCCUCAAACCACGAUCUAAGACACCCUGUGCAUCUGCCGUGAAAAUACCACGACAGUUGGCGCCCAACAUGGGGCGGGCAGCGACACCGGCCGGAUUAAUGUUCUCAGCGGGACACUUCACCCCUUCUGGCGAGCGCAUAGCACAUGGCUUGGUCGUGCGCUACGGCGCGCUCGAUUGUGUCAAUGGCAACGCCCACCGCAUCGAGGACGCAUACUUCCCCGACAACGGCCCCAUCCUCGCCUUCGUGUCCCACAGCGUCUAUGUCGCCGUCGUCUCUCACGAGUACCCCGAUGAGGUGCUUGAUACGUCUCAAACGUAUCUAUAAUUUUUGAUGGUUUCACGCUGUUAUCUUGCCUUCUUUGUAUGUUUUAUGUACCUUUUUAUAUCUUUUUUGGGACUAACUUAUUGAUUCAGUGCCAAGUGCCAGUUCCUGUUUUCUCCGAGUUUUUGACUCUUUUCAGAUCUGAUUUUGGAACGGAGUCCAAACGGAAGAAAAACCCCGAAAUGAUUUUUUCCCGAACGGAAGAAGUCCAGGGGGCUUUUGGGCCAAGCCAGGUGGGCUCCAGGGAGACCACAAGCCCCCACUCCGCCACCAGGGGGAGGCGGCAGUGGGCAGGCUUGUGGCCUCCCUGGCCGCCCCCUGACCUAGGUCUUGCGCCUAUAUAUUCCCAAAUAUUCCACAAAAAAUCAGGGGAGCCUCGAAAAUACUUUUCCGCUGCCGCAAGCUUCCGUUUCCGCGAGAUCUCAUCUGGAGACCCUUCCCGGCACCCUACCAGAGGGGACUUUGAAGGUGAAGGGCUUCUUCAUCAUCAUCAUCGCCCCUCCAAUGACUCGUGAGUAGUUCACUUCAGACCUACAGGUCCGUAGUUAGUAGCUAGAUGGCUUCUUCUCUCUCUUGGAUCUUCAAUACAAAGUUCUCCAUGAUCUUGAUGGAGAUCUAUCCGAUGUAAUCCUCUUUGGCGGUGUGUUUGUCGAGAUCCGAUGAAUUGUGGGUUUGUGAUCAGAUUAUCUAUGAUAUAUAUUUGAGUCUUUGCUGAUUUCUUAUAUGCAUGAUUUGAUAUCCUUGUAAGUCUCUCCGAGUCUUGGGUUUUGUUUGGCAAACUAGAUCUAUGAUUCUUGCAAUGGGAGAAGUGCUUGGUUUUGGGUUCUUACCGUGUGGUGACCUUUCCCAGUGACAGUAGGGGCAGCAAGGCACACAUCAAGCAGUUGCCAUCAAUGGUAAAAAGAUGGGGGUUUUAUCACUGGUUUGAGAUUAUCCCUCUACAUCAUGUCAUCUUGCUUAAGGCGUUACUCUGUUCUUAUGGACUUAAUACACUAGAUGCAUGCUGGAUAGCGGUCGACGUGUGGAGUAAUAGUAGUAGAUGCAGAAAGUAUCGGUCUACUUGUUUUGGACGUGAUGCCUAUAGAUAUAAUCAUUGCCAUAGAUGACGUCACGACUUUGCCCGGUUCUAUCAAUUGCUCGACAGUAAUUUGUUCACCCACCGUCUAUUUGCUUUCAUGAGAGAAGCCACUAGUAAACACUACGGCCCCCGGGUCUAUUAACACCUAUCGUUUCCACUUUUGCUUUUACUUUGCUUUGUUACUUUGUUGCUUUCCAUCGUUUACAUCUCCGCUUUUACUUUGCUUUGUUACUUUGUUGCUUUCAGUUCUCACUUGGCAAACAAUCUAUAAGGGAUUGACAACCCCUUCAUAGCAUUGGGUGCAAGCUUUUUGUGUUUGUGCAGGAUCUUGAGAUACUCUUCCGCCGGAUUGAUACCUUGGUUCUCAAACUAAGGGAAAUACUUACCGUCGCUGUGCUACAUCACCCUUUCAACUUCGACGGAACACCAACGCAAGUCUCCAAGGCCACGGGGGAAAUCCUUGGCAUACUUGCCUAGGAAGUCCCUUAAGGCGUACCCGCAGCUGAAGGAUUCCCGGUGCCGUCGACGCAACUAUUUCUGGCGCCGUUGCAAGGGAUACACAACAGCCAUCAGAAGUAUUUCUGGCAUCGUUGCCGGGGAGGAGAAAUCAAGAUCUAUCCAAGUAGGUCUCACAAACUCUUCUCUUGCAUUUACUUUUGUUGCCAGUUGCGUCUUGUUUUCCUCUCCCCCACUUCACAUUUGCCAUUUUCAUUCGCCUUUCUCCUUCGUCGUUUUCUCUUGCCCUUGCCGUUUUCCUUUGCCGGUUUCUUGCUUGCUUCUGUGCUUGUUUGUUUGUUGAAGAAAUCAUGUCUGAAAACACCAAACUUUGCGACUUCUCGAGCACUAAUAAUAAUGAUUUUAUUAGUACUCCGAUUGCUGCCGCCACUAGUGCGGAAUCGUAUGAAAUCAACGCAGCUUUGCUGAAUCUUGUUAUGAAAGAGCAAUUCUCUGGCCUUCCUAGUGAAGAUGCCGCAUCCCAUCUCAAUACCUUCAUUGAGCUUUGUGAUAUGCAAAAUAAAAGAGAUGUGGAUAAUGACGUGAUUAAGUUGAAACUUUUUCCUUUCUCGUUGCGAGAUCGCGCAAAAACUUGCUUUUCUUCUUUGCCUAAAAAUAGUAUCGUUUCUUGGGAUAGGUGCAAAGAUGCUUACAUAUCCAAGUAUUUUCCGCCGGCUAAGAUCAUCUCCUUACGUAACGAUAUCAUGAAUUUCAAGCAACUUGAUCAUGAACAUGUUGCACAAUCUUGGGAGAGGAUGAAGCUUAUGAUUAGAAAUUGUCCCGCUCAUGGCUUGAGUUUGUGGAUGAUUAUACAAAUCUUUUACGUUGGCUUGAAUUUCGCUUCUCGCAAUAUCUUGGACUCUUCCUCAGGUGGAACGUUCAUGGAAAUCACGUUAGGAGAUGCUACAAAACUCCUAGACAAUAUGAUGACCAACUACUCUCAGUGGCACACUGAACGUUCGCCUGCUAGCAAAAAGGUGCACGCUAUAGAAGAGAUUAACUCGCUUAGUGCUAAGAUGGACGAGUUGAUGAAUUUGGUUGCUAGUAGAAACGCUACCGUAGAUCCUAAUGACAUGCCAUUAUCUUCUUUGAUUGAGAGUAGCAACGCUAGUUUGGACGUGAAUUUUGUUGGUACGAACAAUUUUGGCAACAACAAUGCUUUUAGAGGAAACUAUGUUCCUAGGCCUUUUCCUAGUAACUCCUCUAACAAUUAUGGCAAUUCCUAUGACAACACUUAUGGAAAUCACAAAAAAUUACCCUCUGAUCUAGAGAGUAAUAUCAAGGAGUUCAUCAACUCUAAAAAGAUUUUCAAUGCGUCCAUAGAGGAAAAACUACUCAAAAUAGACGAUUUGGCUAAGAGCGUUGAUAGGAUGUCUUGUGAUAUUGACGCUUUGAAAGUUAGAUGCGCUCCUCCCAAGAUCAACUUGGAUGAAACUUUGAAAGCUAUGCGUAUCUCCAUGAAUGAGAGCAAAGAAAGAACCACCCAAAUUCGCACUAGACAUGAAUGGUUUAAAAGGGUGCGUUCUGGUGAUGCAAAUCACGAAGAUCUUAAAGUGCUUGGUGUGUCUCCUCUUGAAUCUUUGUUUUCGCGUGUGAAACCUACUUAUGGAGGGGCUGGAUAUGAAUCCACUUUGGUUGAAAAACGCCCCGAUGAUUCGGAGUCCACCUAUCUUGAUGAUAAUGGUGUGGAGAGUGGAGUAGAAGAAGUCAAUAUUUUGGGUAAUAAUGAAACUCCCACCUUGGAUUUCAAGGAAUCCAAUUAUGAUAAUUGCUCCUUGUUUGAAUGCAUUUCUUUGAUGCAAUCCAUUGCAAACUCUCCACAUGCUUAUAGCCAAAGCAAAGCCUUUACCGCGCAUAUCGUAGAUGCUAUGAUGAAAUCUCUUGAAGAGAAGCUCGAACUAGAAGUCUCGAUACCUAGAAAACUUCAUGAUGAGUGGGAACCUACUAUCAAAAUCAAGAUCAAAAACUAUGAGUGCAAUGCUUUGUGUGAUUUGGGUGCUAAUGUUUCCGCGAUUCCAAAGUCUUUAUGUGAUAUUCUUGGUUUUCAUGAGAUUGAAGAGUGUUCUCUUAAUUUGCAUCUUGCGGAUUCCACUGUCAAGAAACCCAUGGGGAGGAUCGAUGAUGUUCUUAUUGUUGCAAAUAAGAACUAUGAACCCGUGGAUUUCAUUGUACUUGACAUAGAUUACAAUCCUUCAUGUCCCAUUAUUCUUGGUAGACCUUUCCUAAGGACUAUUGGUGCUAUCAUCGAUAUGAAGGAAGGGAAUAUUAGAUUUCAAUUUCCCUUAAAGAAGGGCAUGGAGAAGUUUCCUAGAAAUAAAAUAAGAUUGCCUUAUGAAUCUGUGAUGAGGGCUACUUAUGGUUUGAGCACCAAAGAUGACUAUACGUGAUUCCAUCAUUUUCGCCUAGCUAAGGGCGUUAAACAAAAGCGCUUGUUGGGAGGCAACCCAACGAAUCUACCCUUUUUCUUUCUGUUUUGUGUUUUCCACACUUUCAUAAUUCUGUUAUGAUUGUGUUUUUUUGUGUUUCUUUUUGCUUUUGUACCAAGCAAAACCGUUAUGAUUAGUCUUGAGGAUGAUCGUUUGGUCAUGAUGGGAAAGAGAGAAACUUUCUGCUCACGAAAAUAAUUUUCAUUUUUUUUCUAUAAGAGCUUUUGAGUUGAUUAUUUUUGCUGCUGAUUGCUACGCAAAUUCUUCAGACUGUCGUAAGUUUUCAGAAUUUUUGAAGUACCAGAGGUAUACGAAACAUACAGAUUGCUACAAACUGGUCUGCUGUUAACAGAUUCUGUUUUUGUUGUGUUGGUUGCUUAAUUUGAUGAAACUAUGGAUAGUAUCGGGGGGUAUUAGCCAUGGAAGAUUGAAAGUACAGUAACCCAACAUCAGCACAAGUAGAAUUUAAGUUUGCUACAGUACCUAAGUAAGUGGUGGCUUGCUUUCUUGUACUAAUAUUAUCACGAGUUUUUGUUUAAGUUUCGUGUUGUGAAGUUUUCAAGUUUUGGGUGAAGUUCUUAUGGACAAAAAGAUAAAGAGUGGCAAGAGCUCAAGCUUUGGGAUGCCCAAGGAACCCCAAGAGAUUUAAGGAUGUCGUAAAAUCCUAAUCUUGGGGAUGCCCCGGGAAGGCAUCCCCUCUCUCGUCUUCAAUCCACCGGAACGUUACUUGGGGCUAUAUUUUUAUUCACCACAUGUUAUGUGUUUUUCUUGGAGCGUCUUGUAUCAUAGGAGUCUUUUAUUUUUUUCUGUUGUGUCACAAUCAUCCUUGCUGCACACCUAGAGAGAGAGACAUGCACACACCAUGAUUUUGUCGAGCUUCACUUAUAUCUUUUGGUAGACAAUUCAGCUCACAUGUGCUUCACUUAUAUCUUUUGAGUUAGAUACUUUUGCUCUAUGUGCUUCACUUAUAUCUAUUAGAGCGCGGCGGUGCGUGGCUUGGUAGUUGAUCUAUGCUUUGAAAGUAGUCUCAAAAGGGGUAGUUAUCCAAAGGGAUACGAAAACUUCCACCUUCAUGUGCAUUAAAUAGCUAGAGAAGUUUGAUUCAUCUCAAUUAGUUUUGAGUUGUGGUUAUGGUAAUAUUGAAGUCAUGCUAGUAAGGUGUUGUGGAUCUAGAAAUACUUGUGUUGAAGUUAGUGAUUCCCAUAGCAUGCACCUAUGGUGAACUGCUGUGUGAUGAAAUCUGAGCAUGAUUAGUCUAUUGAUUAUCAUCCUUUGUGUGGCGGUCGGGAUCGCGCGAUUGUUUAUACCUACCAACCCUUCCCCUAGGAGUAUGCGUUGAAUUCUUUGUUUCGAUUACUAAUAAAACUUUUGCAACAAGUAUAUGAGUUCUUCAUGACUAAUGUUGAGUCCAUGGUUUAGAUGCACUUUCACCUUCCACCAUCACUAUCUUCUUAGUGUCGUGCAACUUUCGCCGGUGCACAAAACCCACCAUUAGCCUUCCUCAAAACAGCCACCAUACCUACCUACUAUGGCUUUUUCAAAGUCAUUCCGAGAUAUAUUGCCAUGCAAAUACCACCAUGAUAUGUGCCACCACAUCUACAUUACCUUUGCACGAUUGUAAGAUAUCUAGCAUGAUGUUUCCAUUGAUGUUUAUGCCAUGCUAGAUCAUUGCCACACUACACUACCGAAGGUAUUCCAUAUAGAGUCAUAGUUGCUCUAAGUUUUGAGUUGAAAGUGUGAUGAUCAUCAUUAUUGGAGCAUUGUCCCAUGUGAGGAAAUAAAAGAGGCCAAAGAAGGCCAUAAAAAAGAGGCCAAAGAGCCCACCAAAAUAAAAACAAAUGAGAGAAAAUCAGAGAAGGGACAAUGCUACCACUUUUUUCACACUUGUGCAUUUUGAGCGCCAUGAUCUUCAUGAUUGAGAGUCUCUCGUUUUGUCACCACCAUAUAGCUAGUGGGAAAUUCUCAUUAUAUAACUUGGCUUGUAUAUUCCAAUGAUAGGCUUCCUCAAAAUUGCCUUAGGUCUUCGUGAGCAAGCAAGUUGGAUGCACACCCACUAGUUUUCUUUAAGAGCUUUCACAUACUUGUAGCUCUAGUGCAUCAUUUGUAUGGCAAUACCUACUCAUUCACAUUGAUAUCUAUUGAUGAGAAUCUCCACAGCACAUUGAUAUGCCUAGUUAAUGUGACGAUCUUCUCCUUUUUGUUUUUCAACCUCCACCAUAUUCCACACCAUCUAUAGUGCUAUAACCAUGGCUCACGCUCAUGUAUUGCGUGAGGGUUGAAAAUGUUUGAGAAAGUAAAGGUGUGAAACAAUUACUUGGCCAAUACCGGGGUUGUGCAUGAUUUAAAUUCGUUGUGCAAUGAUGAUAGAGCAUAGCCAGACUAUAUGCUUUUGUAGUGAUAACUUUCUUUUCGCCUUGUUAUUUGGAAAGUUCAUGAUUACUUUGCUAGUUUGCUUGAAUUAUUAUUGUAUCCACGUCAAUAGCAAACUAUUGUUUUGAAUCUAAUGGAUCUGAACAUUCACGUCACAUGUGAGGAAUUACAAAGACACCUAUGCUAGGUAGCAUGAAAGCAUCAAAAAUUCAUUCUUAUCACUUCCCUACUCGAGGACGAGCAGGAGUUAAUCUUGGGGAUGUUUGUUACGUCUCAAACGUAUCUAUAAUUUUUUAUGGUUUCACGCUGUUAUCUUGCCUUCUUUGUAUGUUUUAUGUACCUUUUUAUAUCUUUUUUGGGACUAACUUAUUGAUUCAGUGCCAAGUGUCCGUGUUUUUGUCUCUUUUCAUAUCUGAUUUUGGAACGGAGUCCAAACGGAAGAAAAACCCCGAAAUGAUUUUUUCCCGAACGGAAGAAAUCCAGGGGGCUUUUGGGCCAAGCUAGGUGGGAUCCAGGGAGCCCACAAGCCCCCACUCCGCCACCAGGGGAGGAGGCGGCGGUGGGCAGGCUUGUGGCCUCCCUGGCCGCCCCUGACCUAGGUCUUGCGCCUAUAUAUUCCCAAAUAUUCCGCAAAAAAUCAGGGGAACCUCGAAAAUACUUUUCCACCGCCGCAAGCUUCCGUUUCCGCGAGAUAUCAUCUGGAGACCCUUCCCGGCACCCUGCCGGAGGGGACUUUGGAGGUGGAGGGCUUCUUCAUCAUCAUCAUCUCCCCUCCAAUGACUCGUGAGUAGUUCACUUCAGACCUACGGGUCCGUAGUUAGUAGCUAGAUGGCUUCUUCUCUCUCUUGGAUCUUCAAUACAAAGUUCUCCAUGAUAUUCAUGGAGAUCUAUCCGAUGUAAUCUUCUUUGGCG
This 9728-nucleotide long non-coding RNA is filed under the name Hordeum vulgare. RNAcentral's name for it is "long non-coding RNA (HVUL_LNC011745)". Lineage: Eukaryota; Viridiplantae; Streptophyta; Magnoliopsida; Poales; Poaceae. The record is from RNAcentral.